Molecule: ribosomal RNA, 428 nt
Filed under: Bacillota bacterium
Lineage: Bacteria; Bacillati; Bacillota
Description: Firmicutes bacterium partial 16S ribosomal RNA
Rfam family: Bacterial small subunit ribosomal RNA
Source: RNAcentral
UAGGGAAUCUUCCGCAAUGGACGAAAGUCUGACGGAGCAACGCCGCGUGAGCGAAGAAGGCCUUCGGGUCGUAAAGCUCUGUUGUAAGGGAAGAACAAGUGCCAUUUAACUGAUGGCACCUUGACGGUACCUUGCGAGAAAGCCACGGCUAACUACGUGCCAGCAGCCGCGGUAAUACGUAGGUGGCAAGCGUUGUCCGGAUUUAUUGGGCGUAAAGCGCGCGCAGGCGGUCCUUUAAGUCUGAUGUGAAAGCCCACGGCUCAACCGUGGAGGGUCAUUGGAGACUGGGGGACUUGAGUGCAGAAGAGGAAAGCGGAAUUCCACGUGUAGCGGUGAAAUGCGUAGAGAUGUGGAGGAACACCAGUGGCGAAGGCGGCUUUCUGGUCUGUAACUGACGCUGAGGCGCGAAAGCGUGGGGAGCAAACAGG